This 549-nucleotide ribosomal RNA is filed under the name Triticum aestivum (bread wheat). Its description in RNAcentral is "partial small subunit ribosomal RNA". The record is from RNAcentral. Lineage: Eukaryota; Viridiplantae; Streptophyta; Magnoliopsida; Poales; Poaceae.
AUGGCCGAAUGCUUCAAUAGGGUGCUCAAAGGUGCACGUGGAUUACCCGUGACGGCAAUAGUUCAAUACACAUUUGACAAGAUGAAUGCGUACUUUGUAAAGUACUCGAUGGAAACCGAUGCACAGAUAGCGGGUGAGAACCCGCGCAAGUACAAGUUCCCACCCAAAGUUGAUGAAUGGUUGGUAUUUCAAUCACGGAAGGCGGACUCAGAAGAAGCUAUAUUAUAUGACAACGAAGAGUGGAAGUACGAAGUGAAAGAGCCAGGAGGAACCACAAACGAUGGCCGGCAACAUGGAGGUCGGGCUUUCAAGGUGUCGUUAACACAAUGUGAUUGCACUUGCGGGAGGCCAUUGUUGCUUCAUCUCCCAUGCUCACAUUUGUAUGCCGCCGGUCGCGUUAGGAAUGUGGACAUCAAUCACCCACGCACUGUGAGGGAGUCGGAGUUCUCAAUCAUGAUGGUCAAGAAAACAUGGGCUCCCCGCUUUCACCCAUACUUUGACCAAUCACAAUGGCCGGAGUAUCAUGGAGUUCAACUAUGGCCGGAUCCG